GAAACAGUUGCUAAGGCUGGAUAGGAAAUAAAAAGGCAUCUUUUUAUUUUUAAAAGACCUUCUUCGGAGGGUAUGCUUAAAGAGGGGCUUGCGUCACAUUAGUUAGUUGGUAGGGUAAUGGCCUACCAAGACGAUGAUGUGUAGCUGGACUGAGAGGUUGAACAGCCACAUUGGGACUGAGACACGGCCCAAACUCCUACGGGAGGCAGCAGUAGGGAAUUUUCGGCAAUGGAGGAAACUCUGACCGAGCAACGCCGCGUGAACGACGAAGUACUUCGGUAUGUAAAGUUCUUUUAUUGAAGAAGAAACAAUAGUGGAAAAACUAUCUUGACGUUAUUCAAUGAAUAAGCCCCGGCUAACUAUGUGCCAGCAGCCGCGGUAAUACAUAGGGGGCGAGCGUUAUCCGGAAUUAUUGGGCGUAAAGGGUGCGUAGGCGGUUUAAUAAGUCUCUAGUUUAAUUUCAACGCUUAACGUUGUCCUGCUAGAGAAACUGUUUGACUAGAGUGAGAUAGAGGUAAGCGGAAUUCCAUGUGUAGCGGUAAAAUGUGUAAAUAUAUGGAGGAACACCAGAGGCGUAGGCGGCUUACUGGGUCUUUACUGACGCUGAUGCACGAAAGCGUGGGGAGCAAACAGGAUUAGAUACCCUGGUAGUCCACGCCGUAAACUAUGAGUACUAAGUGUCGGGGUUAAACUCGGUACUGAAGUUAACACAUUAAGUACUCCGCCUGAGUAGUACGUACGCAAGUAUGAAACUUAAAGGAAUUGACGGGAUCCCGCACAAGCGGUGGAUCAUGUUGUUUAAUUCGAAGAUACACGAAAAACCUUACCAGGUCUUGACAUACUCUGCAAAACUAUAGAAAUAUAGUGGAGGUUAUCAGGGAUACAGGUGGUGCAUGGUUGUCGUCAGCUCGUGUCGUGAGAUGUUAGGUUAAGUUCUAAAACGAGCGCAACCCCUGUCGUUAAUUGCCAGCACGUUAUGGUGGGGACUUUAGCGAGACUGCCAAUGAAAAAUUGGAGGAAGGUGGGGAUUACGUCAAAUCAUCAUGCCCCUUAUGAUCUGGGCUACAAACGUGAUACAAUGGCUAUUACAAAGAGUAGCUUAAACGCGAGUUUUUGGCAAAUCUCAAAAAAAUAGUCCUAGUUCGGAUUGAAGUCUGCAACUCGACUUCAUGAAGUUGGAAUCGCUAGUAAUCGCGAAUCAGCAUGUCGCGGUGAAUACGUUCACGGGGUUUGUACACACCGCCCGUCA
RNAcentral lists this ribosomal RNA (1249 nucleotides) under 'Phoenix sp.' phytoplasma. RNAcentral's name for it is "bacterial SSU rRNA". It matches the Rfam family "Bacterial small subunit ribosomal RNA", at positions 153 to 1399 of the family's 1533-position model. The record is from RNAcentral. Lineage: Bacteria; Bacillati; Mycoplasmatota; Mollicutes; Acholeplasmatales; Acholeplasmataceae.